AUGACCCAAUUUUGUACAAAGUUAGUACAAAGUUGGGUCAUCUAUUUUGGAACGGAGGGAGUAGCAGAGAUCAACACGAUGGAUUCUGCAGCAGAUGAUAGCAUCAAGAUGAAAUCAGCAGCAGAUGCGAACAACAAGACCAAGAGAUCCAGUCCAAGGAUGCAUAGCCUGCGGCAGCUGCCUAAACCAAUCGCCAAAUUCGAUCCGUCACCGUCCGGCCUGUGGAUCAAUGACGGCCUGGAGUGGUUCGAGCUCCUGGGCCCCCGCCGCAGCGAAAGCAGGGUCGUCAACGCCAACGUGGCCGGCGACACCGUGCUAUACGACGCCGACGAGGGCAUCAUCCUCAACUUGCCUUCGCUCCACGAGCCCAAGGGAACCAACCCCGUCUGCCUCUCAAUCACCCACCCCGACGCUGAGGAAGACGCUCUCUAUGUCAUGGACCGCUAUCCCGGCCGGGCCCUUGCGCGGCGUAACACUGGCGGUCCUGGCAUGCACUCCUGCUUCGAGGUGCUCGAGUGCAGGCCCAGCUCCAGAUUUCUGGACGACAGCAUGAAGGGGUGGGGUUGGCGGCCUCUCCCGCCGCCGCCCUUCAUCUACGAGCAUGGGUAUGAACCCACCAGGAUCAUGUCCUACACAGUUGUUGGCGAUGGAACUACCUUGUGCAUCUCGUCAGAUAGGAAUGGCAUCGGGACCUACUGCUUUGACACAGUGCGCGCCGAUGAUACCCACCGCUUAGGGUGGGAUUACCGGGAUGAAUGGAGGCACGUUGGGAAUUGGGCGCUGCCCUUCUACGACAAAGCAGAGUAUGUCCCUGAAUUCAAGCUAUGGUUUGGCUUCAGUCCCCCCAGGCCAAACCACCUGUGCGCCGUUGACCUGUCCACCAUGGACCAUGGCCAACCGCCCAUUGUGCAUCAUGUUUGGGAAGAUCUUGAUCAGCCUGAGGAAGAGGACUGGGUACCAACGCAUUUCAGGAUACUGAACCUUGGCUCUGGCAAGUUUUGUGUUGCUAAAAUCAUUAGCGCAGGGGCAACUGGCAUGAAAUUUUCGGUGCUCACUGGCAUCGAGAUGGUGCACGACAAAGAUGAUCAGAGCCUCCGGAUGUUCAAGCACAAGAGUAAACGCUACAUGUUCAGCACGCCAGAUGUAAUCCACUGGGUUAUCUGA
RNAcentral lists this ribosomal RNA (1164 nucleotides) under Triticum aestivum (bread wheat). RNAcentral's name for it is "partial small subunit ribosomal RNA". The record is from RNAcentral. Lineage: Eukaryota; Viridiplantae; Streptophyta; Magnoliopsida; Poales; Poaceae.